GCGGGUGUAGCUCAGUGGUAGAGCGUCACGUUGCCAACGUGAAUGUCGUCGGUUCAAGCCCGAUCACCCGCU
Molecule: transfer RNA, 72 nt
Filed under: Phycisphaerae bacterium
Lineage: Bacteria; Pseudomonadati; Planctomycetota; Phycisphaerae
Also listed under: 1 other name
Description: tRNA-Gly
Rfam family: tRNA
About the family: Transfer RNA (tRNA) molecules are approximately 80 nucleotides in length.
Source: RNAcentral